This 237-nucleotide unclassified non-coding RNA is filed under the name uncultured fungus. RNAcentral's name for it is "sequence contains ITS2". The stretch from base 1 to 52 matches the Rfam family "5.8S ribosomal RNA", at positions 103 to 154 of the family's 154-position model. The record is from RNAcentral. Lineage: Eukaryota; Fungi.
AACGCACAUUGCGCCCUCCGGUAUUCCGGGGGGCAUGCCUGUUCGAGCGUCAUUACAACCCUCAAGCUUUGCUUGGUAUUGGGUGCUACUGUUUUGGUACACCUUAAAAUCAGUGGCGGUGCCACCUGGCUUCUAGCGUAGUAAUACUCCUCGCUAUGGAGAUGGGCGUGUACUUGCCAUAACCCCCAAUUUUUUAAGGUUGACCUCGGAUCAGGUAGGGAUACCCGCUGAACUUAA